Molecule: ribosomal RNA, 426 nt
Filed under: uncultured eukaryote
Lineage: Eukaryota
Description: bacterial SSU rRNA
Rfam family: Eukaryotic small subunit ribosomal RNA
Source: RNAcentral
CAAUAGCGUAUAUUAAAGUUGUUGCGGUAAAAAGCUCGUAGUUGGAUUUCUGUUGAAGACGUCCGGUCCAUACCACGUAUGCGCAUCUGGCUCGGCUUCGGCAUCCUCUCGAAAGACGUUUCUGCGCUUGAUUGCGUGGAGCGGAUCUCGGGACUUUUACUUUGAGGAAAUUAGAGUGUUCACGGCAGGCUAUCGCCAGAAUACAUUAGCAUGGAAUAAUACUAUAGGAUCUCGGUUCUAUUUUGUUGGUUUCUAGAACUAAGGUAAUGAUUAAUAGGGAUAAUUGGGGCAGUCUGUAUUAAUCAACAGCUCAGAGGAUGGAAGAUUCUUGGAUUGUGUUACGACAAACUACUGCGAAAGCAUUUGCCAAGGAUGUUUUCAUUGAUCAAGAACGAAAGUAAGGGGAUCGAAGAUGAUUAGAUACCA